GUUUGAUCAUGGCUCAGGACGAACGCUAGCGGCGUGCCUAAGGUAUGCAAGUCGAACGCCCCGAGCAAUCGGGGAGUGGCGAACGGUCGAGUAACACGUAGACAACCUGCCUCCGAGUGGGGGAUAACAGCGGGAAACUGCUGCUAAUACCGCAUGCGACGCUUUGUGGCAUCACGAAGCCGUCAAAGGAGCAAUUCGCUGGGAGAUGGGUCUGCGGCCUAUCAGCUUGUUGGUGGGGUAACGGCCUACCAAGGCGACGACGGGUAGCUGGUCUGAGAGGAUGAUCAGCCGGACGGGGACUGAGACACGGCCCCGACUCCUUCGGGAGGCAGCAAUGAGGGAUAUUGCGCAAUGGGGGAAACCCUGACGCAGCGACGCCGCGUGGGUGAGGAAGUCCUUCGGGAUGUAAAGCCCUUUUUCCUGGGACGAGCAAGGACGGUACCAGGAGAAUAAGCCCCGGCUAACUACGUGCCAGCAGCCGCGGUAAUACGUAGGGGGCGAGCGUUGUCCGGAUUUACUGGGCGUAAAGAGCGCGUAGGCGGAGUGUCAAGUCCGGCUUGAAAGCCCCCGGCUCAACCGGGGAGGGUGGCCGGAAACUGGCAUUCUUGAGGGCGAUAGAGGAGUGUGGAAUUCCUGGUGUAGCGGUGAAAUGCAUAGAUAUCAGGAGGAACACCCAUGGCGAAGGCAGCACUCUGGGUCGACCCUGACGCUGAGGCGCGAAAGCGUGGGGAGCGAACGGGAUUAGAUACCCCGGUAGUCCACGCCGUAAACGAUGGUCACUAGGUGUGUGCGGUAUCGACCCCGCACGUGCCGAAGCCAACGCAUUAAGUGACCCGCCUGGGGACUACGGCGCAAGGUUAAAACUCAAAUGAAUUGACGG
Molecule: ribosomal RNA, 880 nt
Filed under: uncultured bacterium
Lineage: Bacteria
Description: bacterial SSU rRNA
Rfam family: Bacterial small subunit ribosomal RNA
Source: RNAcentral